AUGACUACCUGCUUCUCAGAUCUUAUUAAAGAUCAUUCCCUAGAUUUUAUAGGCCUUCAAGAAACUAUGAAAAAGAAAUUCCCUUCUAUGUUCCUUAGGAAAAGUGAUCCCUUCGACAGAUUUGAAUGGAAUUGGGUUCCUUCUGUUGGAAAAUCAGGUGGUAUCCUGUGUGGAGUGAAAAAAGAGACCCUUGAAAUCAUCUCCUAGGUAGUUGGUAAUUUCCUUGUACAAGUUAACGUUUUAUGAUGUGAAGCAUAAUGUGUUCGGGCUCUCAUAGUGGUCUAUGGAGCAGCCCAAGAUGAGAGAAAAGAUGAGUUUUUGUCAGAACUAGUUUCUGUUUGCUUCCAACUUCAUGUCCCCUAUAUAGUGGGCGGAGAUUUUAAUAUUCUCCAUGAUAGUGGAGAGAAAAACAAAAAUAUGGCUCACUCCCAUUACAUAGAGAAAUUCAAUUCUGUUAUCCAGACUUUGAAAUUGAGAGAGAUCCAUAUGGGAGGGGGGAAAUACACCUGGACUAAUAAGCAGAAACAUCCCACCCUGGAAAAAUUGGAUAGAAUCCUUAUGCAUUUCGAUUGGGAAGACCUGUUACCUUUGGUCACAGUCCGCAAACUGGCGAGGGACGUCUCGGGCCAUAAUCCGUUGCUCUUAACCUCGGGUCCCGAGAAAACAGGCCCUUCCCACCAACGUGAAUUCAGGUUUGAGCUGACCUGGUUAAAAAAUGAGGAGUUUUACAUCAAAGCAAAAAAGAUCUGGGAGCAGCUUGUUUUCGCCGACGAUCCUAUUGAUGUUCUCAACAUAAAAAUCAAACGUAUUAAGAAGUAUUUCAAAGGAUGGGGUUCCCAUUCCUUUGGACAUGCCAAGAAGAGAAAAGGUGCAUUAAAGAGGAGCUAG
RNAcentral lists this ribosomal RNA (888 nucleotides) under Triticum aestivum (bread wheat). Its description in RNAcentral is "partial small subunit ribosomal RNA". Lineage: Eukaryota; Viridiplantae; Streptophyta; Magnoliopsida; Poales; Poaceae. The record is from RNAcentral.